RNA transcript from Monodelphis domestica (gray short-tailed opossum), 12876 nucleotides. RefSeq lists it as uncharacterized. The record is from RefSeq and is a predicted model, not a curated record. NCBI's taxonomy places the organism in Eukaryota, Metazoa, Chordata, Mammalia, Didelphimorphia, Didelphidae.
GGAGGGAGCGCCGGACCAGCCGCCGUCCCCAUGGCAACCCCCCAGGGCUUCUCCCCACCCGUCCCUAUGACAACCUCGUCCCCAUGGCAACCACCGGCCGGGGUAACCCUACCCAUCCUCUGCUGCCCCAACCUGCCCCCCCCCCCCGUGUCCCUGGCAUCCUCUGCACGUUUUCACCUCCUGUUUCCAUCCCCCUGGCAUCUUCUGGUUGUCACCUCCUGUCUCCAUGUCCCCAGCAUUUCUCUGGUCAUUGUCCCCUCCUGCUUCUAUGUGUUGUGGCAUUCUCUAGUUGUCACCUGCCUCCAUCCUCCUGGUAUCCCCUGGUUAUUGUCAACUCCUGUCCCCAUCUCUCUGGCACCCUCUGGUUGUUGUCACCUGCCCCCAUCCCCUGGCAUCCUUUGGAUACUGUAAUUUCCUGCCUCCGUAUCCCUGGCAUCCCCUGGUCGUUGUCCCCUUCUGCCUCCACAUCUGUAGCAUCCACUGGUUGUCACCUGCCUCCAUUCCCAGGGCAUCUUCUGGUCGUUGUUACCUCCUCUCCCCAUAUCCCUGUCUUUAUCUAAUAGUUGUCACCACUUGCCACCACCCUCUUGGCAUUGUCAUCUCCUGUCCCCGUCUCUCUGGCGUCCUCUGGUUGUUGUCACCUUCUGCCCACAUCCUCUGGUCAUUUUCACCUCCUGCCUCCAUGCCCCUGGCAUCUUCUGGCCAUUAUUACCUCCAGUCCCUGUGUCCCUAUCAUCCUCUGAUCAUUGUCAUCUCCUGCCCCCGUCCCUCUGGCAUCCUCUUGUUGUUGUCACCUACUUUAAUUCUGAAGAUAUUCUCUGGUCGUUUACACCUUCUGCCCCCAUCCUUCUGGCUUUCUCUGUUCACUCUUACCUUCUGCCCACAUCUCCUUGGCACCCUUCUGCCCUGAUCCUCUCCUGCCUGUAUCUCUCAGGAAUCAUCUGGCCUUUGUCCUAUCUUCAUGGCACCUUCUGGUCCUGGCCACCUCUCCCCCCCCCCCCCCCAUCCUCAUGGCUUCCUCUGUUCAUUGUCAUCACUUUCCCUCAUGCCCUCCCUUGACAACAUCACUGCUGACUCCUAUCCUGCGGCACUUUUUGGAUGGUCAACCUUUUCUUUUCAUCUCUGCCUCAUUCCUCCCAUCCAUCUCUGGAGCUCCCUCUGGGCAGAAUUCCCCCAUACCUUAAGCUGUGUAGCUGAUGGCACUAUCUCACUUAAGCCUCCAGACUUCAGUAGUAGACCUUCAAAUUUCUUUUGUCCAGAUUCGUUGGUGUUUAUUGCAGAAUUUGACUUGUUUUGGUUUGGGGGGGGGGGGGUAGGGGAAAGGAUGUAGUCCCCACUAGUCUUCCUGUCCAGGAAUGAGGCAGAGGUGCUUCAGCAGGUGAUAACACUCCUAGGAGGCCAGUCUGGAGUUGCUUGUUUUCCUGUCAUCCAUUCUCUUGUCCCAUCCCAGUCCUACGGGAGAAACAACAUCCACUGGCCUUAGCUCUCUGGAUUGUGCAGUCUGAUGUUCAAACUGAGAAGAGCACAUGCCCACUCAGGGUCCUUCUGCUGUUUGCUCCAUUUUGUCUCCUGAGCCUUGGUUAUCACACCAGUGCCUGGGCCGUGAGUGGACCUUGGAUAUGAGAAUCAGGGCAGGCUGGGGAUGGGGAGGAGCUUAAAAGGUGACAGGGUAGUGGCUUGUAUUGGCCCAGAGCCUCAGGGCCACCCAGGCAUUGCUUGUUGCUUUAAGGUAGGAGAAGGGAGAUACCAAGCCUCUCUGGUACCCAUAAGGAAACUACUGGCCCCCUGCCUUUCACUGGAGGCUGUGAAGUAUAAAGCCUGAUCACUGGUCUCUGCCCAAGGAUAGCUUGGCCAAAGCCCUGCCUUUCCUUAUGAACUCUUGCUUUGACCCCUAUUUGAGCAGACUUUACCCCCCAGUAAUCUACUGUCUUAUGCUGGGAAAAGACACCCCACAUCUGGGAUCGGCUGAGAGUGAGUCUAAUUGGGCUGCUCACCACUAACCCUGCACUGGCUGUAUGCCAAAACUGAAACUACCCCCAAAGCCCCCUUGCCCUGUCUCAGGGACUCAAACAUGGACCACUGAUGUACCAUUAUUAAUCCAAAUCAGGGGCUGGGGGGGGGGCAGAGGUUUUAGUGGUGUGUGAUUUCUAGGGGGCCCUUUCCCCCUUUCAGCACUCUAUCUCGUUAUGGAACUGAAUCUGCCCCCAGUCUGCACCAGCCUCUGGGAGAGGGGCUACAUCUGUUGAGAGUGGCCGCUCUCCUGUGUACCAAAGGUGCCGCCACACAGGAUGAGCAUGAGGCUCUCCCUUGUAUAGAUGGACAAAGAAAUAGGUACCCGGGGAGAAAGGCAGAUACCCAAGCAUGGGGAAUGACAGGAGCCAGAGGGAGGGAGGAGGUACUCUGUGGUGGUGGUGCCUGUUAUCCUGUGCCAGCUUGGCCAGACAUGCUCCCUCUUUCUCACCAAGCCUUAGUUUUCCCAAUGUCCUCUGGCAUCUCCUAGUUUUGCUUGCUGAUUCAGUUUGGGGAAUAUCCAGUUGGGUUGGGAUAACUGAGACUAGACUGUGUCAUCCUUAAUGAUUAUCCUUAUUGCUUCUGACUCCCUUCUAUCCUAGAUGACAGAAAAUAGGGCGAACAGCUCUAGGACCGCAAUCCAUCAGCCUCCUGGUUCUCUGGCUCUCGCUGACUCUGGCAGCACUGAGUCCUGACUCUCGACUUCUAGGAUCCACUAUAAGUAGAGAAUAGCGUAAUUAAUGCAAGUGAGGAAGAGGGUGGGACUGAGCGAGUUGAGAGAGUUGUCAUAGGCUCAGAGCUUUUAGAGGUGAAAGAAUAGAAAUAGCUGAUGUGCAGUGCCUGGAGGCUUUAAAGGACUUACAUGCAUUCUCAUUUGAGCCUACAAUAAGACAUUAGUGAUAGCUUUAGUUUACAGAUGAAGGAACCUAGGCUAGGAGAAAUUAAGUCAUUUCCUCAGUUGUCAGGAAGCCUCAGAGACAGCUUUCGCACCUGGGAUCUCUUCUGAUUCCAAGCUCAGCCCUCUUUCUGCUGAAACCAAACUUCCUCACACCAACAGAUGAUCAAAGUCCCCAAACUGAGUGGCUUGCCCAAGGUCACAGAUAAAAGGUGGCAGAGUCCAACUCCAAAUCCAGGCCCUCAGACUCCACAUCAGACACGUUUACCGUGCUGCCAGGCUGGGGGCCCACCAGACUCUUGGGUAUUCUGAGUUGUUACCCCCUGUUUCCCCUUGCAGACCACUUCUGUGCCCCCAGCUGACAUCAUCCUCAUCUUGAUGGGAGGGUUCCCAGUCUCUACCUGGCAGCCUGGCCCUCCGUCUGUCCCCUUCCCCAUCCCACACUUCCAGCUGGUAACGACUGACUAGGGGAGGAGCUUGGGCCUUGUCUUCUUGAAGGCUGCUUCCCUGGACCUUCACGUGCUGCUCUUAGUGUUUGCUCAGGCAGGUAUGGUCUAGACCCUUGACGCCUGCCAGCGCCUCAGCCUGUGUAUCGCCUGACCUGCGUUGGCAGUUACCGUUUUCCCAUUCUUUGGCCUUGUCUCCGAAGCCUCUGAAGGUCAGGCUGCCUGUGGAUUAGCUGGUUUUAGGCCCUGGGGCAUCACGAAUUGCCAACCUAGACUAGGAGACACUAAUUGAUAUCCUGGGAGCCCGGCUGUCUGUUAGAGCCUCUUCCUCAGCUCUCAGUUAUGUCCCCAAAUAUAAAGGGGGGGGGGGGGCAAGGACUGCACCUUUUAGCUUCUUUGGUGCUAGCCUCAUCCCCUUAGUGCUGAAAGCGGUUGGCCAACAGAAUGAUCUUGGAUCUCAGAAGUAGUGACUCAGUCAGCCACCAGAAGGCAGCCGUGGGGUCAUGGGAAGUGUACUGCUUGGACUUGGUGUCUCAAGCUCUGGGUUAGAGGUCUGGUUCUGGGCCCUUUCUAGCUGUGACUGAGUAAGUUACUUUAUCUCUCUGGCCCUGGUUUCCUUAUCUGGCAAAUGAAGGCAUUGGACUCUCCAUUAACCGGGCCUGCUUUGGGCUGGGUAUAGUGCUGGUACUGAGAUAUUUGGGGAUCCCAGGUGGGGUGGCUUCCCAAUAGGAGGUAGUUGUGCUAGUGGGUAGCAAUGAGGGAGGCAGAGAGCUAUACUCUAGCUACCUGAGUGACCUGCUCUCUGCAAAGGCUGUUUCAGAAGCUGGAGGAGAGAAACCUUAUUUAUUAUUAUCUCAAAUGAGAUAAUGCUUAUAAAGUUCUUAGCACAGAGUUCCUGGCCCAUCCUAGGUACUAUAUAUAAAUGCUUGUUCCCUUUGCCUCUGCCUUUCCUUUUUUAUUGGGGGGGCCCAGGGUGCCAGGCUCUGAGGCUACAAUGUAGAAAAAUCUGGAUUUGGGAGUGAGAGAAGCUGGGUUUAAGGCCUGGCUCUCUCCUUAUCCGCCUGUGUGAUCUUGGCCCUUACCCACCCUGUAAGGCUUGGGCCAGGUGAACUCUAGUAUCCUGCUCUCAAGCUUCUGACCCUGUAAAUGAGCCCUUGGAUCCUCAUUAAGCUGAACUCACAAGGAAAAGAAGCCAGGAGGGGAGAGAAGACAUCUGUAGCAGCUGUUUUAGAAGGCUGUUGGCCUGGCCAGGCUGCCAUCCUGUGGUCCUAAGAACUCUGGGUUGGUUAGAAAAGGAAGGAAGGGCAAUGGGGGUCAUCCUAGCAGCAUCCCUGACUCUAGAUGUCUCCUGUCAUCUUACAGCAGCACAUUUUGGAGGUGGAAGGAACCUGAGAGGCUAACUUAGAGGCUCAUUUUGUUGAUGAGGAAACAAGCCCAGAGUAAGAAAGGGUCACUGAAUUGGACCUGGAAUCCAGGUCUCUUGGCCCAGGGCCUUCGAUUGGGGGGCUGGGACCCCAAAUCCAUAUUUAUUAUACAAAUCCAUAUUUAUUAGCUCUAUGACUCUUGGCAAGUAGCUUCAAUUUGGACCCAGAGUUUUCUUCAUCUGGAAAGCCUAAAUGAUAAAAUGCAUGCUACCUGCCUUACCAGGUUCCCCUGACCAGGACAAAGCACAGAAAUGUGGGUCCUGGUUAUUUCAAUUUUCACCAUGAUUGUACCCUGCUGACCCAUUCCCACAGCCUUUACAUGGAGGAGGGAAUCUGACAUGGUAUAGUGACUAGAAAGGGCUUCGUAGACCUUAGAGUCCUCCAGAGGUUGAUCUGGGACCUUGGUCCUUGCAUCAGAGGAUGCCAGCGGAACCCCAAGCCCUCAGCUCUUUGAGGUGUUCCUACCCAGUGAGGAAUGAGCUUAAGAGCUGCUGAGCCCUGCAGGAAGGAGGGAGGGAGGACAUUGAAUGAGUAGCAACUUUAUGAGGUGAUGGAGCUAGAGAACAUUACUGAGAUCAACACAUGGGGCAGCCAGAUUAGCAGCCAUCUCUGAGAAUCUCCUUUUGGCGCCCAGGUCCCUCCAUUCAGAGGACUUUGGAGUUGUCACUGCCCCAUCGGUCAGUGGUGAAACCGUGAUGAAACAGAUGUGCAGACAGCUACCUCUCCUGAGGCUCCCCAAAGCCCAAGGAAGAGUGAGAGGAGGCGUGUGAGUUGCAACAGCACAAUAGCUGGUAUUUAUGUAGUGCCAAGUGCUUUCUAAAUGUCAUGUGGCCUCACAUCAGCCCUGCAAGGUAGAUGCUAUUGACCAUCUCCAUUGUACAGAGAAGAAAACUGAGGCCCAGAAUUUAGGUGACUUGCUCAGGGCCCCACAGCUCUUAAAGUAUCUGAGGCUGGAUUUGAAUUCAAGUCUUCCUCACUGCAGCUCCAGUGUUCCCUUCAUACCGUGUAUACUUUGGGGACUUUUAUCUGGUGAUUGGCAGAGCUUAUCUUUCCCUUAAGCCUAGAAUGCUCUCUGGGAGGCACAGGCACAGAGGUGAAUGUGCCAGCGUUUGGUCCUACUUAGCUCAUCACCAGGCUGGAUACAGGGAAAUCACAGAGAGUUGCAAUCUGCCAGUGCAGAGAGUGCCCACAGUGUGGAGAUCAGGAGUCACUUAGGCACAGAGAUGGGCAGGCUGAUUUCUCGACGGUCCACCUCACUCAGCAGAACGUUCAGGCACACCUGGCCCGCUGUCUCCCCAGGGCUCCAGCCUCAUCCCAGAGGAGGAGCCAUGGCAGUGACCACAGGAAAUUUCUAGGAAAGCAAUGGCUGGAGCUCUGGGGUAGGCUGCCUGCCGUGCUCAAUGCCAGGAAGGCACAAGGGGGCAGCAUUGGCCCCAUAAGAUCCUGAGAUGCACCAUCCAGGCUCCCUCUCCUCUUCCUCCUUCAGCUGGUUCCUGGGGCUGAUGAGUUCAGGAAAUGGUCAGUAGCAUUUCUUCUACAGAGGGAUGUGGGUCAGAACUGCUGUUAGGCUAACUCAUUUAAAGUGACUUGCCUCAGCCUCUUUUCUGAACCCUAGAACCCUCACAAAAAGAGCCGGUCAGAACCAGGCCACCCCAGGGAAUUAGAGACAUUCAGAAUCAGUUAGGGAUUCAGAAGGGCAGAGGGGUGUGAACUGUCUUUUUAAAUGAACUAGUUUGAAAAGAUCAGUUUCCCAAAUAAUCCUCUUGUUUGUUGUUAGCAUAUCGAUUGAAGUGGUUGGUAAGCCCAUACUGUAUGCCAGCACUAUUCGAAGCACCAAAGAUGCAAGAGAAGCCCUGGCCUCAGAGAGUUUGGAUUCUACUAGAGGAAGUCAGAUCUCGUCUCCACGUGCCAGGAAGUCUAAGUGUUCUAGGACCUGCUCUAUGACCUCUUCCUUCUCCAGCUUAACUUGGCAGAGGCAGCUCCAGGGAGGCUGAGAGCAAGGUGCUGAUGAAAGAGACAACGAAUGGCAAUAUUGGAGCCAGAGAUCUGGGUUUGAGUUCCACUACCCUACAACUUGUGGGGUGUAAUUCUAGGGAAGUUGCUUCACUUUUCUGAGGUUUUUCCAUCUGUAAAUGUGGAAUGCUGAUAAUUCCACAGCCUACCCUGCUGAUGAGCAAAGUGCUUUGAAAACUGGAGGGCUGUGGUGGUGGGGCCCUCUCUGGUUACCCCCUCAUUCUAAUCUGCCAACAUCUAGAAGCCAUCUCUUAAGCUCAUGCUCUGUGCACAGCAGGAUUCUCGGGGUUGAGCUGGUUAAAAGGAGGAGGAGGACACUGGACCUGCGUGCCCUUGAAUGUUUUCAGCUGGCUUGGAGGAGAUGAGGCUUUAACCAUAACGAACAGCAGGAGCAGCCUGGACCUUUUGUGGGGCCAAAGUUUAGGCUCUAGGCUGCAAAGACUGGACCUCUGGAGCAUGGGAGGAGCAUUGUGAGUUUCAGGUGAUGCUCAGGGAAGGGUCUUUAUGGGGGCAGCAGAAGGAGAGGGGAGUGGGGUGAAAGUAUUGGAUUUAGAGCCAAGAGGGGCUAAGUCAGGGAUCAAUCACCGCAUCCUGCUCCUUCAUUUCUUAUAUAGGGACACUGAGGCCUAGAAGAGGAAAGUGACUUACCCAAGGUCACCAGUGAAGUGAAUGGCCCGGCUGGGGUCCUUCACAGACACUACUUUUUUCUAAUUCUGCUCUUUCUCUUAAGGAUUAUGGCCCCUAUUUUAUAGGUGGAAUGAUUUUUGUUUAUGAUCCCCUGGAGCCUGAACCCAAACUUAGAUGUCUUGACCACAUGUCAGCAUUUCCACUAUAGCAUGAGCAAAAGUACAAAAAGGGAGGAGGUGAAUUCUGAAUGAGGAAUUGGAGGGAAUGAGGUGACUUCUGGCAGAUGGGGUGUGGGAGCCUUGUAGACAUCAGAGAAGGUUGGGGAGAGAAGAGCCAGGGUACAGACACAAGAGUAGUGGGGGAGGGUGGGCAACAGGUCAGCUUGCAGUGAAGGGGAUAAGCUGGGAGAAGAUGGAGAUCGGGAUAUCAUUGCUCUUCAUUAACCAGCAACUCUGCCAGUGUGGCUGAAGCAGCCAACCGGGGACUAACAAGCCUUUCCGUAUUAUGUUGACCAAAAGGAAGUGGAAUGAGCUUGCCAUGUGUCUGAGGCAGCUCAUUUCCAGCUUAAUUCUUCACUGGCAGACUGGAUUUGGAGGUAUCACCUCUGGGUGGCUGAGAAGAGUCCAAAAUGGUCCUACACUGGCAACAGAUUGGAUGUGGAGGGUGAAGGGUCAAGGAUGAGUCUUAAUCUGGGGGACUUGGACAGCUGGUUGCCCCUGACAGCAUUAGGGAAGUUUGGAAGGAGAAGUAUUUAGGUGGAAAAAGAAAAUGGAUUCGAUUCUGAAUGUGUUGGAUGUAAGAUGUCUACAAGACCUCGACUUUGAGAUGUGUGCUAGGCAGCUGGAGGUGCAAAAUUGGGGAUCAGUAGAGGAGUUAGGGCUGGGUGAAUAGAUUUCACAAUCCUCAGCAUAGAGAUGAUCAUUGAAUCCAUGGGAGCUCAUGAGAUCACCAAGUGAAAUAUAUGGAGGAAGAAGAGAAGAGGGCCCAGGUCAGAGUCCUGUGGAACACCCAGGCAUGACCUGGAUGAAGUGUCAGCAAAGAUUGAGAAGGAGCAGUCAGAGGGGAGGAGAUCCAAGAGACAGUGGGAUCGCAUAUAACCUAGAAAGAGAGCAUCAGGGAAAAGAUGGUGAUCAACAGGGGCAAAGGCUAGAGAGAAGUCAAGAAAAAAGCCAUUCGAUUGGCAGGUAAGACACAAUUAGUUACUUUGGAGAGAGACAGAAACAGACAAGGUUUUGGUGGAAUGAUAGUCAGAGACCAGACUGGAGAGCUAAAAGCAAUCUGCAUUCUAUUAAAGGCUUAAAACAUAUUCCUAGGAAUAUAGGAUAUGUUCUCCCCGCCCAGUUCCCCAACAGUGAAUGGGGUAGAGGUACCAACAGCAGGAGAAAUCAGGAAAGACUGUUUAAAAUAGACCUUGGAAAGGGGCGUUAGAGUAGGUUUGAGUAAUACUGAUAUAUUGACUAUACACACACCUAUCUGAAGGCUGUCAGAGACUAGCAAGCGAGAAACAAAGAGAUUUAUAGUAAACUUAAGAGAGGAAAAGAAAGGUACUUUGAGCUCUGGCUUUUGAAAUUGGAGGGCAAGGGGAUGGUGGGAAGUUGGGCCAAAGAGGCUGUCUCCAUCCUGACAUCCACGACCAAGAAUCGAAUUUGAAGCAAUUUCAGUUGAAAUUGAAGCAACAUUGUGGAGGGAGAUAAAUUCCCCUGACAGAGGAAUAACGCAAGUGCCUGUAGGCCAAAGUGCUUUCUUCACAUCAACCCCAGAAGGUUGGUGGGCCAAGAAUACUUCAUCCCUUUUUAUGCAUGGGGAAACUGAGCCUCAGAGGUGAAGUGACUUGCUCCAGAUCAUCUAGCUCAUUGGAUCUUCCAACUCAGGAUCAGAGUUCUUUCCAUGCCCCGAGGUGGCUCCUUGGCCAUGUUUGCCAUCUUGUUGUGGAAGGUGGGGGGAGAGGGAGGCAGGGUGAGAUGGGAAAAGGUUGGGGUGUGUCUGCCUUGGGCCUUGUACUCAUUCACCCCUUGGUGGAUAGCUCUCUCCUAGUCACAUCCUCGGGGUCAUAACCCUUCAACCAGCAACUCCACAGCUCGGAUUGAGGCUCUCUGGGUUGGUGUCUUAACUAGCCCCUUCUCUGAACUAGAGAGAAGGAAUAUUUCUUACCAAAGCUUUAUGUCUUUUCCCCACCACCCCUUGCCCUGCUCAUCUCCUAGCCUAGCAUAACAUUCAACACACAGCAGGCUUAAUAAUUGUUUCCUGUCCUGUAUAUUUUAGACCAGAACCUGGGCAGAUCUUCAGCAAAACCAAGGUCAGUGGGAUGUGUAAGAAGUGCACAAGCAAUGAGAGCUGCCAUUUACAGAGCUCUUUAAGAUUUGCCCAGGGCUUUAUAUACAUUGUCUCAUUUUCUCAGUUGAGCUCACCCUAGGCCUGAGAAGUAAGUUGUUUCCUCCAGGUGGUAUGAUUAUUUCCUUUUUUUUAAAUCAAUGAGGAGAAUAAGGUUCAGAAGUUUGAUGACAUGCCCAUGGUCACAGAAUUAAUAAAUGUUAGAGGUUCAGUUUCCAUUCCUGUUUCUCAACUCUUUUUUAUGUCACAUCGUCUUUCCUAAAACUCUGCCCUCGAAGAGUUACCAAAUGAGAGGAGGGAUAUGGAGAGAUAACAAAAUUGUGUCCAAUUGCAAACAAUACAUGCUCCUGGGAUUUAGAAGAGGGACAGAUCUCAUGGACUGAACUCGUUGGGCUAGUUGGGAAAGACAUGAAGGACAAGUGAGUUCAGAUCUUUUGGGGAGAAAGUGGAGGGCAGAAAAAAAGAAAAGGGGGGCAGCUGGGUAGCUCAGUGGAUUGAGAGCCAGUCCUAGAGAUGGGAGGUCCUAGGUUCCAAUCUUACCUCAGACACUUCCCAGCUGUGUGACCCUGGGCAAGUCACUUGACCCCCAUUGCCUAGCCCUUACCACUCUUCUGCCUUGGAGCCAAUACACAGUAUUGAUUCCAAGAUGGAAGGUAAGGGUUUAAAAAAAAGAAAGAAAGAAGAAAAGGAAGGUGGGUCAAAUCAUGGAGGCCUUGAGUACCAUCCUAAGCCAUUUGGACAUUUUCAUGUUAGUCUCCGAGUACUAUAGAGCCAGGGGAGUAAUACAUGAAAUAGCUCCCAUGGGAUGGAUGAUCAGCUCUCUGAUAUACAGCCAGCACGUCCUCUCUUCACAUCAACUGUCUUCAGGAAAUCUCAAACCAGACGUCCCACAGGCACUCAGCAUGUCCAAAGUAGAAAUCUUUGAGUUUGCCCUCCUCCCCUCUUCCCAGCUUUCCUGGGAUGGUGAGGGCAUCACUCAGGCUAGAAACUUUGGGGUCAUUGUCGGCUCCUCCCUUACACUCCCCAUAUCUUUAUGCCAUCUCUCACAUACAUUACUUUUUUUUUCUAAGCCCUUACCUAUUGUCUUAGAAUCAAUACUAUGUAUUAGUUCCAAGACAGAAGAGUGGUCAGGGCUAGGCAAUGGGGGUGACUUGCCCAGGGUCAGUGGCUGAGGCCAAAUUUGAACCCAGGACCUCCCAUCUCUAGGCCUGGCUCUCAAUCCACUGAGCUACCCAGCUGCCCUGAUCAUAUACAUUACCUUUAUUCAUAUAGCUACCAAUCUCAGCACUUCUUGCUAAUUAAUAAUAGCUAGCAUUGAUAAUAGCAUUUUACAAAAUUUCUUACCUUCUGUCAAGACUUCCAUCUCUAGGCCUGGCUCUAUCCACUGAGCCAUCUAGCUGCCCUUGACAGCAUUUUAAAGUUUGCAACAUGCUUUACAAAUAUGGUCUCAUUUUAUCCCCACAACAAUCCUGGGAAGUAGGGGCUGUUAUUUUUCCAGAGGGAUAUACUGAGGGAGAGAGUGGUUAAGUGACUUGCCCAGAGUCACACAACUACUAAGUGUCUAAGGCUGGAUUUAGAUAUUCCUGACUCAAGGUACAAAAUUCUCAGCUCAUUCUUUUAGCUACUUAAAUGAUUUUUCUAGUUCUCAUCUGACUGUAUCAGCCCCUUACCCUGUAAACUCAGUGGCACCCUGAGACCUUUUGGAUCCAAUAUGAACCUCCCUGUUUGGCAUUUCAAGCCCCUCCUAGCCUGACUCCUUCCUCCCUUUUCCAUCUUCUGCCUCACUUCUCUGCACGAAGCUGGUUCAGCUCCACCGGCCUCCUGGCUGUUUGUGUCUCGUGGCGCCUCAUCUCCAGUUCCUGGCUUCCUUCAGGUCUGCUUCAAUCCCACUUUCUAAAGGAGGCCUUUCCCAGCCCCCUCAACUGCUAAUGCCUUCCCUCUGAAAUUGCCUUCCCCUGAGAUUGUCUAAUAUUCUGUAUAUCCUCCCAUUAGAAUGGGACUCACAGGAAACCCUUGUUGGCUGCCCCAGGGCUCCGCUGCCUGCCACAGGUUCCUUGGUGUCUUUGGCUUGGUGUCCGUCUUUGUGGCAGAAGCAGCUAGGUUGAGUGCAAGCUUUACCAUUUACUUACUAUGUGGCCUUCAGCAAAUCAUUUAGCCUCUGAAUGUCAGUCCCUUCAUCUGUACGAUGGGUACAGAAGGAACUCACAUUCUUUACCUCAAAAGAGCUGUUGUGAGAAGAGCACUUUGUUAACUGACUUUCCAGAAGUAAGAACUGCUGGCAUCACUUGGGGGAAGGGGUGAGUGGCAGGAGCAGGCAGGGCCCUAGGGAGCAUUUGUUGAGAAUGGCAUCCUGGUAGGGAGCUGAGGAAGCAGCUUCUGAAUUAGGCUCAAGUCCCUCCUCCGAUACCUCCUAGCCAUGGGACCCGGAGCAGGGCCUCCGGCCUCUCCGUGAGGGACUGGCUUGCCGAGAAGGCGCCCAUCUGUGUGGGUAGAGGAGUCCUUUAUCGUGAGUGGAUGCCGGCAUGAACACAAAGCCCUGGAGAGAAUCUGCUCUCUGUAGCUGGGAGCUCUCUUGAAGUGGGCCCAGCUUUGAGGGGUCGCCUCCUCCUUGUUCUUCUCCUGCAUGGAGGGCGAGAGAGCAGAUUCUCCUCUGGGAGAGCCCCAUUAGCUCAGUGCAGGAGGGCCGAGGGCAGAGAAAUGGAUUGCCAGUGCCUCCCCCAAACUCCCUGGGCCCCUCUUCCAUGGAAGUCUUGGAUCUGGGUCCAGCACAAGAGUUGGGGGGCAGCUGAGGCGGGCCGGGGAGCCCGAGAACACGAGUGACCUGAAGACACUUUUCUUUGGAAGAACUGAAUGAGUGAGGAGGAAGGGGAGGUUUGUGUGUGUCUGUCGAUCUGCCCCUUUGGCUGGGUGAGCAGGGAGGAGAGGCGUGUGUGUGUGUGUGUGUGUGUGCGCGCGCACGUGUGUGUGUAUGUGUGCGCCCGUGUGUGUGUGUGUGUGCCUGUGUGUGCCCGUGUGUGCCUGUGUGUGUGCCCGUGUGUGUGUGUGCCCGUGUGUGUGUGUGUGCGUGUGUGUGUGCCCGUGUGUGCCUGUGUGUGUGUGUGCCCGUGCCCGUGUGUGCCUGUGUGUGUGU